UCGCCGGGGCAGUGGGUGCCUGGGACGGCAGCCGCCCGCCAGAGCCCCCCCCCGGCAGCUCUCGGCCCUCCUGGGCUCUCUCCAGAAGCCUGGGAACAAGCUCAGGCAGACGUUACUGUGGAGCGGUCCAGAAAUACCCCGUGGACAGACGGGAUAAGGGCAAGGUUACUCUUCGGGGAGUCUGGACUCCUUCCCAUCUGCUGUCAAGAGCAAUUAGGAAGUUACACCGUUUCUGCAAGAAGGAGAACUGAAGCUGCUGACAGACCAGGACCCGAGCCAGGACCCAGGCUGGGCUGCAGCCCGCUUCGGCUGCUCUGCUCUCCAAGGCGUUUCUGAGAAAUGCCCUUGUAGUAAAUCUGUAAAUAACUCGGUGUCGACACACCAGCUCUUCCUGUCUUCUGCUCAAGCCGCCACCCCCACGAAGAACCGUUCAUCUGAUUAGUUCCUGGCAACCUGAACGCAAGGCCCUGGCGGCUGGAUACCUUCAUGCAAGUUUAAUGAAG
This is a long non-coding RNA of Chroicocephalus ridibundus (black-headed gull), 503 nucleotides long. RefSeq lists it as uncharacterized. The record is from RefSeq and is a predicted model, not a curated record. The transcript is spliced from 3 exons. Lineage: Eukaryota; Metazoa; Chordata; Aves; Charadriiformes; Laridae.